Vitis riparia (riverbank grape) is the source of this 1005-nucleotide long non-coding RNA. RefSeq lists it as uncharacterized. NCBI's taxonomy places the organism in Eukaryota, Viridiplantae, Streptophyta, Magnoliopsida, Vitales, Vitaceae. The transcript has 2 exons. The record is from RefSeq and is a predicted model, not a curated record.
UACCCAUUUCACCCAAUAGACUACACAAACUUGGAACUGGUGAGUCUGCAGCCAAUUGUUUGAUGUGUACAACAAAAAUGAUCAAAACCCUUGUGGGUUUUCUGCAGAAGUAAAUAAUGGAAAAUGGAUGCCCAAGAUAUCAGCUUUACUUAAUGGAUGAAGACACAUACACAAUAGGCGAUGGAAAGAAGAUUAAGAUCCCAUGCUAGCUUCCAUGAUGAUGGGUUCCUCUCCACCACAGCAGCCAGAACCACUGACUGUAUGCAGCUAAAGAAGCACUGAAGAGUAGUGAGGCGUAGUUUUGCUGGAUACUGCUUGAUAAUUGGACCCUACAGAAACAAGAAUAGCUAAAAAUCCAUUUUGUGUGUAACAGAUCGAGCAAGAAUUUCUGAAAUAAUGGAGAAGUUCUAGGAAUUAACCUGUAAAAUAAGCCAGAGAGACCAGGCUGUGUUGGCUGCAAGCAUCAUCAGGGAGCCUUUUAUCCACUCUCCUUUGGAGUUUUGCUCUACAGACGGGUCUGAAAUUCCCUUCUUGAUUUCUGGAUACCAGUCCAUGAACUUCAGAGCAGGACCCUUGACAAAAGCAAACACCAUAGCCCCAGAAACACCCACAACAGAACCAAGCACCUUGGCUAUUCCAUGGAAAUGUUUCAUGGGAAUGCUCUCCAUCCUGAAAUAUUCAGAGCCCUCUUUUAUUUGAAAUGAAGGUAAUAGCAAAUCAAUCCUUACACCGAUAUUUACUUGGAAAGCUUCUCAUUUACCCUAUGAAAACAGCCAUGAUAAAGGUAAUGGCAGGGAUUGUGUUGGUGGUGGCCGCAGCAAAUGUUGCAGAGGUGAAACCAAUUGCCACAUAAUAGAGAUUUAAACUCAGGGUCAGCCUGCAGAUUUUUCAUAUAUAUGAGGGAUUGUUAGUAUGGAUUUUAUAUUUAGAGAUUAAGUUUGUUAAUUUUUUUAUUAUUUGUUCACUUAUCUAUGAAAUGGUUUAUAUGAAAUUGAGUCAUGGAAA